GCUCCAUUGGUGGAAUGGUAGACACGCCACACUUAGGAUGUGGUGCCAUAUGGUGUGUAGGUUCGAGUCCUACAUGGGGUA
This 81-nucleotide transfer RNA is filed under the name Crassvirales sp. RNAcentral describes it as "tRNA-Leu". It matches the Rfam family "tRNA". Rfam says of the family: Transfer RNA (tRNA) molecules are approximately 80 nucleotides in length. Lineage: Duplodnaviria; Heunggongvirae; Uroviricota; Caudoviricetes; Crassvirales. The record is from RNAcentral.